CUUGGGUACUCGAGUGGCGAACGGGUGAGUAACACGUGGGUGAUCUGCCCUGCACUUUGGGAUAAGCCUGGGAAACUGGGUCUAAUACCGGAUAGGACCACAUUUUGGAUGGUGUGGUGGAAAGUUUUUCGGUGUGGGAUGAGCUCGCGGCCUAUCAGCUUGUUGGUGGGGUAAUGGCCUACCAAGGCGUCGACGGGUAGCCGGCCUUAGAGGGUGUACGGCCACAUUGGGACUGAGAUACGGCCCAG
This 248-nucleotide ribosomal RNA is filed under the name uncultured Actinomycetales bacterium. RNAcentral describes it as "partial 16S ribosomal RNA". It matches the Rfam family "Bacterial small subunit ribosomal RNA", at positions 82 to 334 of the family's 1533-position model. The record is from RNAcentral. Lineage: Bacteria; Bacillati; Actinomycetota; Actinomycetes; Actinomycetales.